RNAcentral lists this ribosomal RNA (425 nucleotides) under uncultured bacterium. Its description in RNAcentral is "bacterial SSU rRNA". It matches the Rfam family "Bacterial small subunit ribosomal RNA", at positions 356 to 772 of the family's 1533-position model. The record is from RNAcentral.
AGGGAAUAUUGGGCAAUGGACGCAAGACUGACGCAGCGACGCCGCGUGUGGGAGGAAGCCCUUCGGGGUGUAAACCACUGUCGGGAGGGACGAAUGGCGGACGGGCAAAUAGCCCGGACGAUUGACGGUAGCUCCAAAGGAAGCACCGGCUAACUCCGUGCCAGCAGCCGCGGUAAGACGGAGGGUGCAAGCGUUGUUCGGAAUUACUGGGCGUAAAGCGCGGGCAGGUGGUCUUUUAAGUCCUUUGUGAAAUCCCGGGGCUCAACUCCGGAUGUGCAUAGGAUACUGGAAGACUUGAGACUGGUAGAGGCGAGCGGAAUUCCUGGUGUAGCGGUGGAAUGCGUAGAUAUCAGGAAGAACACCGGUGGCGAAGGCGGCUCGCUGGGCCAGUUCUGACACUCAUCCGCGAAAGCGUGGGGAGCAAA